This 552-nucleotide non-coding RNA is filed under the name Sphingobacteriales bacterium BACL12 MAG-120813-bin55. RNAcentral describes it as "bacterial SSU rRNA". It matches the Rfam family "Bacterial small subunit ribosomal RNA", at positions 1 to 548 of the family's 1533-position model. Lineage: Bacteria; Pseudomonadati; Bacteroidota; Sphingobacteriia; Sphingobacteriales. The record is from RNAcentral.
ACAAUGGAGAGUUUGAUACUGGCUCAGGAUGAACGCUAGCGGCAGGCUUAAUACAUGCAAGUCGAGGGAGAAGUCGAGUGCUUGCACUUGACUGAAACCGGCAAACGGGUGAGUAACACGUAUGCAACUUACCUCCAUCUGGGGAAUAGCUCCGGGAAACUGGAAAUAAUACCCCAUAGUAUCGGGAAUUCGCAUGAUGACCCGAUUAAAGUUCCGGCGGAUGGAGAUAGGCGUGCGUCUGAUUAGGUAGUUGGUGAGGUAACGGCUCACCAAGCCUUCGAUCAGUAGCUGAUGUGAGAGCAUGAUCAGCCACACGGGCACUGAGACACGGGCCCGACUCCUACGGGAGGCAGCAGUAGGGAAUAUUGGGCAAUGGACGAAAGUCUGACCCAGCCAUGCCGCGUGAAGGAUGAAUGUCCUAUGGAUUGUAAACUUCUUUUAUAUGGGAAGAAACCCCCGGAUUCAUCCGGGGCUGACGGUACCUUAUGAAUAAGCACCGGCUAACUCCGUGCCAGCAGCCGCGGUAAUACGGAGGGUGCAAGCGUUAUCCGG